Paramisgurnus dabryanus is the source of this 1053-nucleotide non-coding RNA. The record is from RefSeq and is a predicted model, not a curated record. NCBI's taxonomy places the organism in Eukaryota, Metazoa, Chordata, Actinopteri, Cypriniformes, Cobitidae.
UUUAUAAUAUAAUAAGGGUCCAUAUAUCACAGUGAAAAAAGACAUACAUGUAUUUUUACUUUAACAUGAACUAAUGCUGAGUUACAGCAUAUCCUAAUAAUAAACUAUUGAAGAGUCAUCAUUAACUACGACAUGUUUUUCAUUGUUAGUUAAUGCAGUCAUUUACAAUAAAUUAAUUUGAGUUAAUGUUGUAGUUAAGUAAGUUCAGUAAGUUACAUGUCUUAACUCAGCAUUAGUUUAUAUUUACUAAUAUUUAAGUAAGAAUUCAUUUAGGUAUACGUUCAAUGUUUCCAAUGAUGAGCCACUCAUCCACUAAGCCCAGAGAUAAUUCCUGAGGCAUGUUUAAAGAGUUUUGUAUUUCAUCAAGAAGGUGCUGCUGAUUCACAAAGAUUUUAUAUUUAAGAAAAUCUGAGCAUCAUUCCAAAUAACUGUUAACAUGUUUGUCAACUAAACAUGUUUUGUAAACGUAAUAAACUUUAUAAAAAUAUUUUUUAUUUUUUAUUAAUAAUCAAGUAUAAAGAACAAUGCAUAGUGUGAAAACGCGGAUUAUAAAAAGUAUAUUAAAGAAAAGGACUACAUUUCCCAGAAUGCACCUGCACCUACUCAUCUGCCCCCACCCUUCAGGUGCGACUGCUCAACCUAUGGGCUUGACGGGAAAAUUCAAAAUCGCGAACCGUUACUGCCUGGACUACUCCGUCUCUUAUUUGUUUGUUUGCUCAUCAACAGUAAGAGGUCAUGUACACUGUGGUCAACUUUGUGGACGAUGAAGAGGUUUCUGGGUAAAGCUGAUAGAAAUAUAAUGAAGUAACAGUGAAAGCUAAAACAUCAGACUGAUCCAGACACUGAAGAAAUUGAUAUCACUGCAAUCUGGCCAAAAUGAUACAACUAUAUUGAAGUAGCCUACUGUAAUGAAGCUGCAGAACAACACAGAGACUCUGAGGACAUCAACACAGAAAAUGAAGGCUCCAAAGAGAUGUCUGUCCAGAUGAGGGUGCAUCAACGUUACCUUUGCUGACAAGUAUAGGUUUUACAUUGUAAAGCAUAACAGUUAAC